This is a long non-coding RNA of Bos taurus (domestic cattle), 1021 nucleotides long. NCBI's taxonomy places the organism in Eukaryota, Metazoa, Chordata, Mammalia, Artiodactyla, Bovidae. The record is from Ensembl.
UUCUGAUAACCGUGCCCAGCUGAUCUUCCAUAAUAUUGCAUGAGGCUGCAGUUCCACCAACUGUGGACGAGAGCUCACCACUCUGCUGCCAGUGCCAGCUGCCCUGAUGGUGAGCUGAGCCCCAAGGGAACUCAGGAUGGAGACACAAUGCCCGCCCUCUUGUCUCCGUGAUGAUGGCUGAUCAAGCCACCAGCCACUGCAGCCACCCCCGAGGGUGCACCUUGAGGAGACAUCAGAUGAGAAAGAACAAAGAACCCUGGCCCCAGAGAGCUAAGUAAUCUUCUGAAGUUCCGACUGCCUCGUGUUUGUUGCAAAAGCUCCUCCCCAUUCUGGCUCCUGCCUUGCCUCUGUGGAGCAGGACUUCAGAGCUACCUGAGAGGCUGCAUCCUGGGCUAUCGUCCUCAGGCUUCCUCCAGCUGUAUCAAGCAGCGGUCACUCUUGCUUGCGGUGCACGGGCUCUCACCGUGGUGGCUUCUUCUGUUGCAGAGCUCGGGCUGCAGAGUGCGGGCCUCAGCAGCUGCAGCUCGCAGGCCCUCGCGCGCAGGUCCUUCCCUGGUGGUGCAGUGGUUGAGAAUUCACCUUCCAAUGCAGCAGUGGAGGUUCUGAUCCCUGGUCGGGGAACGGCGAUCCCACGUGCCGCAGAGCUACUGAGCAGGCAGGCUUCAACUGCUGACCCCACGCCACGACUGGAGAGUCCGUGCACGACAACGAAAGAUCCCACAUGACACAGCUCAGACCUGAUACACUCAAGAGUACAUCGUGAGAAACGCUGGGCUAGAAGAAGCACAAGCUGGAAUCAAGAUUGCUGGGAGAAAUAUCGAUAACCUCAGAUAUGCAGAUGACACCACCCUUAUGGCAGAAAGUGAAGAAGAACUAAAAAGCCUUGAUGAAAGUGAAAGAGGAGAGUGAAAAGGUUGGCUUAAAGCUCAACAUUCAGAAAACUAAGAUCAUAACCCUGUAUGCGAGACAGCAAAAGAGACACAGAUGUGUAGAACAGUUUUUUGGACUCUGUGGGAGAGGG